This 508-nucleotide ribosomal RNA is filed under the name uncultured bacterium. Its description in RNAcentral is "partial 16S ribosomal RNA". It matches the Rfam family "Bacterial small subunit ribosomal RNA", at positions 355 to 877 of the family's 1533-position model. The record is from RNAcentral.
UGGGGAAUAUUGCACAAUGGGCGAAAGCCUGAUGCAGCAACGCCGCGUGAGUGAUGAAGGUCUUCGGAUUGUAAAGCUCUGUCUUUUGGGACGAUAAUGACGGUACCAAAGGAGGAAGCCACGGCUAACUACGUGCCAGCAGCCGCGGUAAUACGUAGGUGGCGAGCGUUGUCCGGAUUUACUGGGCGUAAAGGGUGCGUAGGCGGAUGUUUAAGUGAGAUGUGAAAUACCCGGGCUUAACUUGGGUGCUGCAUUUCAAACUGGAUAUCUAGAGUGCAGGAGAGGAGAAUGGAAUUCCUAGUGUAGCGGUGAAAUGCGUAGAGAUUAGGAAGAACACCAGUGGCGAAGGCGAUUCUCUGGACUGUAACUGACGCUGAGGCACGAAAAGCGUGGGUAGCAAACAGGAUUAGAUACCCUGGUAGUCCACGCCGUAAACGAUGAGUACUAGGUGUAGGAGGUAUCGACCCCUUCUGUGCCGCAGUAAAACACAUUAAGUACUCCGCCUGGG